This 1372-nucleotide ribosomal RNA is filed under the name uncultured bacterium. RNAcentral's name for it is "16S ribosomal RNA". It matches the Rfam family "Bacterial small subunit ribosomal RNA", at positions 31 to 1381 of the family's 1533-position model. The record is from RNAcentral.
GAACGCCGGCGGCCGGGCUCACACACGCAAGUUCGAAACGUCGCCGGAGAAAGCCUCGCCUUCCUGCCUGACAGCGGCCGACGGGUGAGUCAUGCCUGGGAAUCCGGCCUCUGGAGGGGGAUAACUACCGGAAAACCGUAGCUAAUACCGCCGUCAUGUCCAGAGAACGAAAAGUGCCGGGACCGUAAGGCCCCAUGCCAUGAGAAGAGCCCAAGUGGGAUUAGGUAGUUUGGUGGGGUAAAGGCCUACCAAGCCUGCGAUCUCUAGCUGGUCUGAGAGGAUGGCCAGCCACACUGGAACUGAGACACGGUCCAGACUCCUACGGGAGGCAGCAGUGGGGAAUAUUGCGCAAUGGGGGGAACCCUGACGCAGCCAUGCCGCGUGAAUGAAGAAGGCCUUCGGGUUGUAAAGUUCUUUCGGUAUUGAGGAAGGGAUGUGUGCUAAUAGUACAUAUCAUUGACGUUAAAUACAGAAGAAGCACCGGCUAACUCCGUGCCAGCAGCCGCGGUAAUACGGAGGGUGCGAGCGUUAAUCGGAAUAACUGGGCGUAAAGGGCACGCAGGCGGUUAUUUAAGUGAGGUGUGAAAGCCCCGGGCUUAACCUGGGAAUUGCAUUUCAGACUGGGUAACUAGAGUACUUUAGGGAGGGGUAGAAUUCCACGUGUAGCGGUGAAAUGCGUAGAGAUGUGGAGGAAUACCGAAGGCGAAGGCAGCCCCUUGGGAAUGUACUGACGCUCAUGUGCGAAAGCGUGGGGAGCAAACAGGAUUAGAUACCCUGGUAGUCCACGCUGUAAACGCUGUCGAUUUGGGGAUUGAGCUUUAAGCUUGGUGCCCGUAGCUAACGUGAUAAAUCGACCGCCUGGGGAGUACGGCCGCAAGGUUAAAACUCAAAUGAAUUGACGGGGGCCCGCACAAGCGGUGGAGCAUGUGGUUUAAUUCGAUGCAACGCGAAGAACCUUACCUACUCUUGACAUCCAUGGAAUCCUGUAGAGAUACGGGAGUGCCUUCGGGAACCAUGAGACAGGUGCUGCAUGGCUGUCGUCAGCUCGUGUUGUGAAAUGUUGGGUUAAGUCCCGCAACGAGCGCAACCCUUAUCCUUUGUUGCCAGCGAUUUGGUCGGGAACUCAAAGGAGACUGCCAGUGAUAAACUGGAGGAAGGUGGGGAUGACGUCAAGUCAUCAUGGCCCUUACGAGUAGGGCUACACACGUGCUACAAAUGGCGUAUACAGAGGGUGGCGAAAUUGCGAGAUGGAGCGAAUCUCAAAAAGUACGUCUAAGUCCGGAUUGGAGUCUGCAAACUCGAACUCCGUGAAAGUCGGAAUCGCUAGGAAUCGCGAAACAGAAAUGUCGCGGUAAAGACGUUUCCCGGGCCU